UAUUCUGAGUAGGAGAUUGGCACUCAGAGACUGACUCAAAGGGUCCUCCAGCAAAACUUAAGUCAGCGUUCUUUCAACAUCAGUAAAAUGGAUUUAGAAGACAACUAUGCUGAUGCGUUGGAUCCAGGGAAGUUAAUACAAUGUCCAUAUGAUUGCUAUCAUCAAAUCCGAGCCUGUCGGUUUCCCUAUCAUCUUAUAAAGUGCAGGAAGAACCACCCUGAUAUUGCAGAGCAGCUAGCCACACACCCCUUUAAUGC
Chelonoidis abingdonii (Abingdon island giant tortoise) is the source of this 257-nucleotide long non-coding RNA. RefSeq lists it as uncharacterized. The record is from RefSeq and is a predicted model, not a curated record. Lineage: Eukaryota; Metazoa; Chordata; Testudines; Testudinidae.